Molecule: ribosomal RNA, 1387 nt
Filed under: Nothocladus pseudogelatinosus
Lineage: Eukaryota; Rhodophyta; Florideophyceae; Batrachospermales; Batrachospermaceae
Description: eukaryotic LSU rRNA
Rfam family: Eukaryotic large subunit ribosomal RNA
Source: RNAcentral
GAAAAGAAACUAACAAGGAUUCCCCUAGUAGCGGCGAGCGAAGCGGGAAAAGCCCGGGAUGAAAAUCUCUUUGGAGAAUUGUAGUCUGAGCUCCCUUGGGCGGUCAGUGUGGGUAAAUCGUCUGGGAUGACGUGCCAUGGAGGGUGAGAGCCCCGUCCACCCCACACAGGACCCGCCCGCACGAGGGCGCUUCAACCGAGUCGGGUAGCUUGGGAAUGCUGCUCCAAUUGGUGGUAAAUCUCAUCAAAGGCUAAAUAACGGUGGGAGACCGAUAGCGAACAAGUACCGUGAGGGAAAGAUGGAAAGAACUUUGAAAAGAGAGUGAAAAGCGCUUGAAACCGUCACGGGGGAAGCGGAUUGCGUGAGUGAUGGCGUGCACUGUUCAGCUCAAAAUGUGGAGUGUAUUCUGUGCGCGCCGGGCGUGUGUGGCUGGGGUGCGUGCGAAUUUGGCACGCGUUCCUGGUGAGGGCUCCCUGCUCGUCAGGUGAGGACACACGCGAAAUGACGCAAUACGACCCGUCUUGAAACACGGACCAAGGAGUCUAGCACGGCUGCGAGUCGAAGGGUGUUUAAACCCAGAGGGCGCAGUGAAAGCGAAAGAAAGCAAAUUGGGGAGGCGUUGCGGUUUUACCAAAAUGUCCUACCUCGAGCACCUGUGCUGGGACCCGAAAGAUGGUGAACUAUGCCGGAGUAGGGCAAAGCCAGAGGAAACUCUGGUGGAGGCUCGUAGCGAUGCUGACGUGCAAAUCGCUCGUCGAACUUGGGUAUAGGGGCGAAAGACUAAUCGAACCAUCUAGUAGCUGGUUCCCUCCGAAGUUUCUCUCAGGAUAGCGGGCCGACGACAUGUUGUUUUGUGCGGUAAAGCGAAUGAUUAGUGCAUUUGGGGGCCGAAGGCCUUCAGGCGAUUCUCAAACUUUAAAUGCGCAAGGGGGCGGCUGCUUAAUUGAGCCUGCUCUUUGAAAAACGUCGGCCCUGUGGGCCACUUUUGGUAAGCAGAACUGGCGAUAAGGGAUGAACCUUAAGCGCGGUUAAGGCGCCGCAUUGCCCGCUUAUAGACCCCACAAAAGGUGUUGAUUCAUCCAGACAGCAGGACGGUGGCCAUGGAAGUCGGAAUCCGCUAAGGAGUGUGUAACAACUCACCUGCCGAAUGAAUUAGCCCUGAAAAUGGAUGGCGCUGAAGCGGGCAGCCGACACCGCGCCGUUCGGGCGAGACGAUGCCCGAAUGAGUAGGAGGGCGUGGCGGUCAGUGACGCAGGCGUGGGUGCAGACCCCGCUGAAACGGCCGCUAGUGCAGAUCUUGGUGGUAGUAGCAAAUAUUCAAGCGAGAUCCUUGAAGGGCGAAGCGGGGAAGGGUUCCACGCGAACAUUGAUUGGGCGUGGGUGAGUC